Molecule: ribosomal RNA, 437 nt
Filed under: uncultured bacterium
Lineage: Bacteria
Description: partial 16S ribosomal RNA
Rfam family: Bacterial small subunit ribosomal RNA
Source: RNAcentral
AGCGAACGCUGGCGGCAGGCUUAACACAUGCAAGUCGAGCGGGCAUCCUUGUGGUGUCAGCGGCAGACGGGUGAGUAACGCGUGGGAACGUGCCCUUCGGUUCGGAAUAACUCAGGGAAACUUGAGCUAAUACCGGAUACGUGCGAGAGCAGAAAGGUUUAUCUGCCGAAGGAUCGGCCCGCGUCUGAUUAGCUAGUUGGUGAGGUUAUGGCUCACCAAGGCGACGAUCAGUAGCUGGUCUGAGAGGAUGAACAGCCACACUGGGACUGAGACACGGCCCAGACUCCUACGGGAGGCAGCAGUGGGGAAUAUUGGACAAUGGGGGCAACCCUGAUCCAGCCAUGCCGCGUGAGUGAUGACGGCCUUAGGGUUGUAAAGCUCUUUUCUCCGGGACGAUAAUGACGGUACCGGAGGAAUAAGCCCCGGCUAACUUCGUG